CUAAACAUGCUAGUGCACAAUGGAAAGAGGUGAGAGACAGAAGAAAUCAGGGCAAAUAGAAGCAGGAUGAUGAAGAUGCAAAAACUGGAAAACAAUUGGUCCCAGUGGAUAAAAGUAAGAAACAGGUACAUACCUCUAAUAAAUUUGCAGCUUUAGAGGAAGUUGAAGCAGCUGAUGUGCAAGGUAAGGAGUUAGCAGUCAUUGAAGAAGUAAAGGAAAUUAAUCAUGUUGACAUCGACUCUCCAGGAGUACAAGGUAAAUGGAACAAUGUUGAAAAAUCUCACAAAGCAGUUGGAAAAAAAUAGGCAGAGGAAGUGGAACAAUAAAGUGUUGGGAAUACAGCUAGAGGAGAGCAACCUAUGUUGCUACAAAACCAACAGCAGGCAGAUAAUACAACAUGAAGGUUGAAUCCUCCAGUCACAGGUUUCAAUCACAAAGCAGCAGCUGCAGGGUCAAAUAAUGGAGAAAAUAAAGGAAAGGCUAAUAACGUCAAGGAAUCCACAGCCCAAUGGGUUCAGAGAACAUUC
RNAcentral lists this long non-coding RNA (527 nucleotides) under Nicotiana benthamiana. RNAcentral describes it as "long non-coding RNA (NBEN_LNC025448)". Lineage: Eukaryota; Viridiplantae; Streptophyta; Magnoliopsida; Solanales; Solanaceae. The record is from RNAcentral.